GAACCAUCAGUCCGCCUCCUCUUGUAAACUCCUGAUCCUCGUCUGGUGGACAUGGUACCUGAAAAGAAAACUUUUAGUACUAAGGAUCAACAAAAUUCUGGCAGCAUAACGGCAUAAAAUGAACAAACCAAACGAUUUAACUCGAUAAAAUUAAACUGCUCAAUGUCCUGCAAAGAAAAUUUAAUCCACAACACUGCCAAGCAAUGCUAACCAAUUAAAUUUGCAAUUCAUCCAUAUGGAGUUUACUUCGCCAUAAUCCAUCACAAGGCAAACCAACAUGCUAAUAUAAAAUAGACACAAACAGAGUCGACUAUCUAUGAUAGAGCGUAUUGUUUAGCGGCCGACAAUAAUAAUAAAGAGAAAAAUAAGGAAUUAAUC
Molecule: long non-coding RNA, 378 nt
Filed under: Ricinus communis (castor bean)
Lineage: Eukaryota; Viridiplantae; Streptophyta; Magnoliopsida; Malpighiales; Euphorbiaceae
Description: long non-coding RNA (RCOM_LNC001330)
Source: RNAcentral